RNAcentral lists this RNase P RNA (379 nucleotides) under Klebsiella oxytoca. RNAcentral describes it as "RNase P RNA component class A". It matches the Rfam family "Bacterial RNase P class A". Rfam says of the family: Ribonuclease P (RNase P) is a ubiquitous endoribonuclease, found in archaea, bacteria and eukarya as well as chloroplasts and mitochondria. Its best characterised activity is the generation of mature 5'-ends of tRNAs by cleaving the 5'-leader elements of precursor-tRNAs. The record is from RNAcentral. RNAcentral also lists the same sequence under 5 other names. Lineage: Bacteria; Pseudomonadati; Pseudomonadota; Gammaproteobacteria; Enterobacterales; Enterobacteriaceae.
GAAGCUGACCAGACAGUCGCCGCUUCGUCGUCGUCCUCUUCGGGGGAGACGGGCGGAGGGGAGGAAAGUCCGGGCUCCAUAGGGCAGGGUGCCAGGUAACGCCUGGGAGGCGCAAGCCUACGACCAGUGCAACAGAGAGCAAACCGCCGAUGGCCCACGCAAGUGGGAUCAGGUAAGGGUGAAAGGGUGCGGUAAGAGCGCACCGCGCGGCUGGUAACAGUUCGUGGCACGGUAAACUCCACCCGGAGCAAGGCCAAAUAGGGGUUCACAAGGUACGGCCCGUACUGAACCCGGGUAGGCUGCUUGAGCCAGUGAGCGAUUGCUGGCCUAGAUGAAUGACUGUCCACGACAGAACCCGGCUUAACGGUCAGCUUCAACU